AUGAGACUAUUUCAGGGGAUUCAUUCUCUGUGUCCAUCAGGACCUGCCUGUAUUUUGCUUUUUGACCUUGCCCAGGUUUCUCCUUUUCUCUUUUCCACAGAGACUCUUCCAAGCCUUCCUUCUUCUCUCACAAUUUCUCCUUUUCUCCUUUCCUCCUUCCUCUUUUCCACCUCCCAUCUGUAUGUGUCUCUGUCUCCAUGUCUCUCUCUCUCUCUCUCUCUCUCUCUCUCUCUCUCUCUCUCUCUCUCUCUCUCUCAUACACACAAAAACACUCACAUAGAUUUUCCUUCCCCUUUCCCUCUUUCUCUCUUAUGUAAUAUUUCCCUAUCUACUGGCUCCUUUCUUGCUGCCUAUAAAAAAAGACCAAGUCUUUCCCUAUCCAUUUCACACUACUGACCCCACUCUUAUCCUGGACACUGACUUCUCUAGGCUUUUGUGACAUUUUUCCCUCAUGCUUCUCCUCCUACCUGCUCCUUCUCUGUUUCCCUUGCUGGUUCAUCAUCUGUGGCCUUAAAACCAGUACAUUCCCAGCCUCUCUCCAGGGGCCUCUUCUCUUUCUCUAGAUACUUUCCCCUUUAGUGAUCUCAGGAGUUCUCCUGAGUUCUAUUCUCUCAAUUCAGAUGAUACUCAGAGCUCUACAAAGCCCAACUUUUUCUCCAGUGUCAGUGAGUCAUUCAACAAACAGUAAAUGCCUAGUUUGGCACAGAGCUAAGUACUAAGUCCGAUGGACACAACUGCCCAUUGUAUAUUCCAAACUGGAUGGCCUAGGUACAUUUCAAAUUCUCUACGUCCAAGAGAGAAUUCAUUAUCUCUCCCUUAAACUCCUUUUCCAAAUUUCCUUCUCUCUGUUAAGGGUAUCACCAUCCUUCUAGAGACCCAGGUCUAUAACUUCAGAGUUAACCUUUCUUUAAUUACAACAACAAUAAUCAGGAUGAUAAUGUCACCUAGUCCCUGAGCAUACUCAGUUUGCCUAACAGGGAGGCCACUGCAUUCUUACACAUGGGGUAGCCCCCUCUGAUUGCCCCCCCCCCCGUGUUUUUAAAAAUAGUGAGACCAAGUGAGGUACUCUUAGCAGCUGCUGUUCUUUUUUUUUAUCACAGCCCUGAGAAAUGGGCCUGAGAGAGGGGUGCUUGUUUCUGCUUUGGGUUAUUUGUCCUCAGUUACAGGAGACACAGAUAAUCCUCACAGAGUUCAAUUCGUAGAAACUGUGGAGCCAACCAUCCUGACAAAGAAGCCCCAUGAAGCCAUAAGGGCUUCAAGCUAACUGGAGAUGAAGGUUGGAGCUGGAGCUGUCCAGCUCUAAACAGCUCUGCUCAGCCCUCACACACUGGUGACAUUUAUCCUUACCAAUAGGGAGAAUCCACACCAAUGGACUUCAAUUGAGGAGUACUUCAUAAUCAUUUAGGGGGCAGGUAGAUUGCAUAGUGGAUAGAGUGCCAGGCCUGGAAUUAGGAAGACCUGAAUUCAAAUCCAGCCUCAGAUAGACUUACUAGCUCUGUGAUCCUAGACAAGUCACUUUACCCUGUUUGAUUCAGUUUCUUUUUUUGUAAAAUGAUCUGGAGAAGGAAAUAGCAAAUCACUCCUGUAUCUUUGCCAAGAAAACUCCAAAUGGGAUCAUGAUGAGUCAGAAAGGACCAAAUUAUUAAAAAAAAUAAGUAAUAACUAUAAUUAAUGGCAGGCAUAUAGCACCUUAAAGGUAGCAAACUUUUUCACUCCCCAGUUAAAUACUAUUUCAUUUGAUCCUAUCAACAACCCUAGGAGGUAGCCGCUAUUGUUAUUCCCAUUUUAUAGACAAGGACAAUAAGGUAAAUAGAGGUUAAGGAACUUGCCCAGGAUUACAUAGCUCCAAGUAUCUGAAGCUCAAUUUGGCCUCAGAUUUUCCUGACUCCGGGUCCAGUCCUCUAACCACCACACGACCUAGCUUCCUCAUCCUAUAUCCAAUCUGCUGCCAUCAUUCACAAUUCUACCUCCACAUAUCUCCCAUCCACACACUCUUUUCUUCUCAUGUGAAGUCUCACCCUCAUCCCCUUUUUCUGGAUAGUUGCUGUCCCUUACCACCUGGGUCUUGCUGAACAAAUAAUUACUCAUUAUUUUAAAAAAUUAAUGUGACUUCUGUACUUCUAGGAAUCAUGAUGACAAUAAUCAUAGCUACAAUUUAGAGAGUACUUUGAAGCUUGCAGAGGUAUUUACUUAUAUAAUUAUAGUUCAUCGUCCUAACAACCCCAUGAGUUAGUUGCUACUACUCUCCCCAUUUUAGAGUUCACAAAAUUGAGGUUAAGUCCCCAGCUAAUGUGUCUAAGGUAGGAUUUAGACUAUGGUCUCUCUGAUUCCAUGACCAGUGUUCUAUCUACUUCCCCACCGAGCUCUCCUUAGUCAGAGUUAAAAAUGUAUCUUGGAUUCUCGGAUAUCAACAAAGACCAUAAAAAUAAAAAUUUUGAAUUGUGACA
This is a long non-coding RNA of Monodelphis domestica (gray short-tailed opossum), 2447 nucleotides long. The record is from Ensembl. Lineage: Eukaryota; Metazoa; Chordata; Mammalia; Didelphimorphia; Didelphidae.